AAUCAACGCUGGCGGCGUGCCUCAGACAUGCAAGUCGAACGAUUAAAGCUCUCUUCGGAGAGUGCAUAAAGUGGCGCACGGGUGAGUAACACGUAAGUAAUCUACCUUCGAGUGGGGAAUAACGUCCGGAAACGGACGCUAAUACCGCAUAAUGCAGCGGCACCUAAUGGUGACAGUUGUUAAAGAAUUUAUUCGCUUGAAGAGGAGCUUGCGGCAGAUUAGCUAGUUGGUAAGGUAAUGGCUUACCAAGGCUUCGAUCUGUAACCGGUCUAAGAGGACGGUCGGUCACACUGACACUGAAUAACGGGUCAGACUCCUACGGGAGGCAGCAGUCGGGAAUUUUGGGCAAUGGGCGAAAGCCUGACCCAGCAACGCCGCGUGAAGGAUGAAGUAUUUCGGUAUGUAAACUUCGAAAGAAUGGGAAGAAUCAAUGACGGUACCAUUUAUAAGGUCCGGCUAACUACGUGCCAGCAGCCGCCGUAA
RNAcentral lists this ribosomal RNA (483 nucleotides) under uncultured bacterium. RNAcentral describes it as "partial 16S ribosomal RNA". It matches the Rfam family "Bacterial small subunit ribosomal RNA", at positions 32 to 523 of the family's 1533-position model. The record is from RNAcentral.